RNAcentral lists this ribosomal RNA (245 nucleotides) under uncultured bacterium. RNAcentral describes it as "partial 16S ribosomal RNA". It matches the Rfam family "Bacterial small subunit ribosomal RNA", at positions 524 to 768 of the family's 1533-position model. The record is from RNAcentral.
UACGGAGGAUGCGAGCGUUAUCCGGAUUUAUUAGGUUUAAAGGGUGUGUAGGCGGAUUGAUAAGUCAGCGGUGAAAUCCUUCGGCUUAACCGGAGAACUGCCAUUGAUACUGUUGAUCUUGAAUGUAAUUGAAGUGGGCGGAAUGUGUAAUGUAGCGGUGAAAUGCUUAGAUAUUACACAGAACACCGAUUGCGUAGGCAGCUCACUAAGUUAUGAUUGACGCUGAGGCACGAAAGCGUGGGGAG